This 638-nucleotide ribosomal RNA is filed under the name uncultured Alphaproteobacteria bacterium. RNAcentral describes it as "bacterial SSU rRNA". It matches the Rfam family "Bacterial small subunit ribosomal RNA", at positions 8 to 692 of the family's 1533-position model. Lineage: Bacteria; Pseudomonadati; Pseudomonadota; Alphaproteobacteria. The record is from RNAcentral.
AGAGUUUGAUCAUGGCUCAGAAUGUACGCUGGCGGCACGCCUAACACAUGCAAGUCGAGCGAGGUACUUGUACCUAGCGGCAGACGGGUGCGUAACAUGUGGGAAUCUGCCUUUUGGUUCGGAACAACACGGGGAAACUUGUGCUAAUACCGGAUAAGUCCUAACGGAGAAAGAUUUAUCGCCGAAAGAUGAGCCCGCACUAGAUUAGCUUGUUGGUAAGGUAAAAGCUUACCAAGGCUACGAUCUAUAGCUGAUUUGAGAGGAUGAUCAGCCACACUGGGACUGAGACACGGCCCAGACUCCUACGGGAGGCAGCAGUGGGGAAUCUUGCACAAUGGAGGAAACUCUGAUGCAGCGAUGCCGCGUGAGUGAAGAAGGCCCUUGGGUUGUAAAGCUCUUUUGUCGGGAAAGAUAAUGACUGUACCCGAAGAAUAAGGUCCGGCUAACUUCGUGCCAGCAGCCGCGGUAAUACGAAGGGACCUAGCGUAAUUCGGAAUUACUGGGCGUAAAGCGCGCGUAGGCGGUUAAGUAAGUUAAUUGUGAAAGCCCAAAGCUCAACUUUGGAAUUGCAAUUAAAACUACUUAGCUAGAGUUUAUCAGAGGAAAGCGGAAUACAUAGUGUAGAGGUGAAAUUCGUA